GGAUCCAGACUUUGAUCCUGGCUCAGGAUGAACGCUAGCUACAGGCUUAACACAUGCAAGUCGAGGGGAAACGAUAUUGGAAGCUUGCUUCCGAUAGGCGUCGACCGGCGCACGGGUGAGUAACGCGUAUCCAACCUGCCCACCACUUGGGGAUAACCUUGCGAAAGUAAGACUAAUACCCAAUGAUAUCUCUAGAAGACAUCUGAAAGGGAUUAAAGAUUUAUCGGUGAUGGAUGGGGAUGCGUCUGAUUAGCUUGUUGGCGGGGUAACGGCCCACCAAGGCGACGAUCAGUAGGGGUUCUGAGAGGAAGGUCCCCCACAUUGGAACUGAGACACGGUCCAAACUCCUACGGGAGGCAGCAGUGAGGAAUAUUGGUCAAUGGGCGAGAGCCUGAACCAGCCAAGUAGCGUGCAGGAUGACGGCCCUAUGGGUUGUAAACUGCUUUUAUAAGGGGAUAAAGUGAGCCUCGUGAGGCUUUUUGCAUGUACCUUAUGAAUAAGGACCGGCUAAUUCCGUGCCAGCAGCCGCGGUAAUACGGAAGGUCCGGGCGUUAUCCGGAUUUAUUGGGUUUAAAGGGAGCGUAGGCCGGAGAUUAAGCGUGUUGUGAAAUGUAGAUGCUCAACGUCUGCACUGCAGCGCGAACUGGUUUCCUUGAGUACGCACAAAGUGGGCGGAAUUCGUGGUGUAGCGGUGAAAUGCUUAGAUAUCACGAAGAACUCCGAUUGCGAAGGCAGCUCACUGGAGCGCAACUGACGCUGAAGCUCGAAAGUGCGGGUAUCGAACAGGAUUAGAUACCCUGGUAGUCCGCACGGUAAACGAUGGAUGCCCGCUGUUGGUCUGAAUAGGUCAGCGGCCAAGCGAAGGCAUUAAGCAUCCCACCUGGGGAGUACGCCGGCAACGGUGCAACUCAAAGGAAUUGACGG
This 924-nucleotide ribosomal RNA is filed under the name uncultured Bacteroidota bacterium. RNAcentral's name for it is "bacterial SSU rRNA". It matches the Rfam family "Bacterial small subunit ribosomal RNA", at positions 1 to 916 of the family's 1533-position model. The record is from RNAcentral. Lineage: Bacteria; Pseudomonadati; Bacteroidota.